This 498-nucleotide ribosomal RNA is filed under the name uncultured bacterium. RNAcentral describes it as "bacterial SSU rRNA". It matches the Rfam family "Bacterial small subunit ribosomal RNA", at positions 28 to 482 of the family's 1533-position model. The record is from RNAcentral.
GACGAACGCUGGCGGCGUGCCUAAUACAUGCAAGUCGAACGCACUCUCGUUUAGAUUGAAGGAGCUUGCUCCUGAUUGAUAAACAUUUGAGUGAGUGGCGGACGGGUGAGUAACACGUGGGUAACCUGCCCUAAAGUGGGGGAUAACAUUUGGAAACAGAUGCUAAUACCGCAUAAAACCUAAACACCGCAUGGUGUAGGGUUGAAAGAUGGUUUCGGCUAUCACUUUAGGAUGGACCCGCGGUGCAUUAGUUAGUUGGUGAGGUAAAGGCUCACCAAGACCGUGAUGCAUAGCCGACCUGAGAGGGUAAUCGGCCACACUGGGACUGAGACACGGCCCAGACUCCUACGGGAGGCAGCAGUAGGGAAUCUUCCACAAUGGACGAAAGUCUGAUGGAGCAACGCCGCGUGAGUGAAGAAGGUUUCGGAUCGUAAAACUCUGUUGUUGGGAGAAGGAAAUGUAUCUGAUAGUAACUGAUCAGGUAGUGACGGUAUCCAA